UUCCGGUUGAUCCUGCCGGAGGCCAUUGCUAUCGGGGUCCGACUCAGCCAUGCUAGUCGUGCGGGUUCAGACCCGCGGCAGACAGCUCAGUAACACGUGGCCAAACUACCCUCUGGACGCGGACACCCUCGGGAAACUGAGGCUAAUCCACGAUACGGCUCCCACGCUGGAAUGCGGGGAGCCGGAAACGCUCCGGCGCCAGAGGAUGUGGCUGCGGCCGAUUAGGUAGACGGUGGGGUAACGGCCCACCGUGCCCAUAAUCGGUACGGGAUGUGAGAGCAAAUAGCCCGGAGAUGGAUUCUGAGACAAGAAUCCAGGCCCUACGGGGCGCAGCAGGCGCGAAACCUUUACACUGCACGCCAGUGCGAUAAGGGGACCCCGAGUGCGAGGGCAUACAGUCCUCGCUUUUGUACACCGUAAGGAGGUGCACGAAUAAGGGCUGGGCAAGACCGGUGCCAGCCGCCGCGGUAAUACCGGCAGCCCGAGUGAUGGCCGCUGUUAUUGGGCCUAAAGCGUCCGUAGCCGGCCGAACAAGUCUGUCGGGAAAUCCAUCUGCCUAACAGAUGGGCGUCCGGCAGAAACUGUUCGGCUUGGGGGCCGGAAGAUCCGAGGGGUACGUCCGGGGUAGGAGUGAAAUCCCGUAAUCCUGGACGGACCGCCGGUGGCGAAAGCGCCUCGGAAGGACGGACCCGACGGUGAGGGACGAAAGCUGGGGUCUCGAACCGGAUUAGAUACCCGGGUAGUCCCAGCCGUAAACGAUGAUCGCUAGGUGUGGCACAGGCUACGAGCCUGUGCUGUGCCGUAGGGAAGCCGUGAAGCGAUCCGCCUGGGAAGUACGUCCGCAAGGAUGAAACUUAAAGGAAUUGGCGGG
Molecule: ribosomal RNA, 871 nt
Filed under: uncultured archaeon
Lineage: Archaea
Description: bacterial SSU rRNA
Rfam family: Archaeal small subunit ribosomal RNA
Source: RNAcentral